RNAcentral lists this ribosomal RNA (492 nucleotides) under uncultured bacterium. RNAcentral's name for it is "partial 16S ribosomal RNA". It matches the Rfam family "Bacterial small subunit ribosomal RNA", at positions 29 to 507 of the family's 1533-position model. The record is from RNAcentral.
AGUGAACGCUGGCGGUAGGCCUAACACAUGCAAGUCGAACGGCUGCACAGUAAAAGCUUGCUCUUACGGGUGCCGAGUGGCGGAUGGGUGAGAAAUACAUCUGAAUCUACUUUUUCUUGGGUGAUGACGCAGGCAGACUUACGCUAAUACCGCAUACGGCCUACGGGUGAAAGCAGUGGAUCUUCCGCCCUUUCCCGAUUGAAUGACCCCAUUCCUGAUUCGCUAGUUGGCGGGGUAAAGGCCCACCAAGGCGACGAUCCGUAGCUGGUCUGAGAGGAUGAUCAGCCACCCUGGAACUGAGACACGCUCCCGACUCCUACGGGAGGCAGACGUGGGGAAUAUUGGCCAAUGGGCGCAAGCAUGAUCCAGCCAUGCCGCGUGGGUGAAGAAGGUCUUCGGGUUGUAAAGCCCUUUUGUUGGGAAAGAAAAGCAGCAGGUUCAUACCCCGAUGUUCUGACGGUACCCAAAGAAUACGCACCGGCCAACUUCGUG